Molecule: transfer RNA, 64 nt
Filed under: Neopetrolisthes maculatus (porcelain anemone crab)
Lineage: Eukaryota; Metazoa; Arthropoda; Malacostraca; Decapoda; Porcellanidae
Description: tRNA-His
Source: RNAcentral
AUCUAAAUAGUUUAAAAAAAACUUUGGUUUGUGGAGCCAACAAUAUAUGAAUAUAUUUUAGAUC